GGUCUCAGUUCAGAUUGCAGGCUGCAACCCGCCUGCAUGAAGUCGGAAUUGCUAGUAAUCGCGGAUCAGCAUGCCGCGGUGAAUACGUUCCCGGGCCUUGUACACACCGCCCGUCACACCAUGGAAGCCGGUAAUACCCGAAGUCAGUAGCUUAACCUUUUAGGAGGGCGCUGCCGAAGGUAGGAUUGGUGACUGGGGUGAAGUCGUAACAAGGUACC
This 218-nucleotide ribosomal RNA is filed under the name uncultured bacterium. RNAcentral describes it as "partial 16S ribosomal RNA". It matches the Rfam family "Bacterial small subunit ribosomal RNA", at positions 1284 to 1500 of the family's 1533-position model. The record is from RNAcentral.